Molecule: ribosomal RNA, 467 nt
Filed under: uncultured bacterium
Lineage: Bacteria
Description: partial 16S ribosomal RNA
Rfam family: Bacterial small subunit ribosomal RNA
Source: RNAcentral
GAUGAACGCUGGCGGCGUGCUUAACACAUGCAAGUCGAACGGAAAGGCCAGUGCUUGCACUGGUGCUCGAGUGGCGAACGGGUGAGUAACACGUGGGUGAUCUGCCCUGCACUUUGGGAUAAGCCUGGGAAACUGGGUCUAAUACCAGAUAGGACCAUGCUUUGGAUGGUGUGGUGGAAAGUUUUUUCGGUGUGGGAUGAGCUUGCGGCCUAUCAGCUUGUUGGUGGGGUAAUGGCCUACCAAGGCGUCGACGGGUAGCCGGCCUGAGAGGGUGUACGGCCACACUGGGACUGAGAUACGGCCCAGACUGCUACGGGAGGCAGAAGUGGGGAAUAUUGCACAAUGGGCGCAAGCCUGAUGCAGCGACGCCGCGUGGGGGAUGACGGCCUUCGGGUUGUAAACUCCUUUCGCAACUGACGAAGCUUUUUGUGACGGUAGGUUGAGAAGAAGCACCGGCUAACUACGUG